This 478-nucleotide ribosomal RNA is filed under the name uncultured bacterium. Its description in RNAcentral is "partial 16S ribosomal RNA". It matches the Rfam family "Bacterial small subunit ribosomal RNA", at positions 28 to 523 of the family's 1533-position model. The record is from RNAcentral.
GACGAACGCUGGCGGCGUGCUUAAUACAUGCAAGUCGAACGGUAAGGCCCUUCGGGGUACACGAGUGGCGAACGGGUGAGUAACACGUGGGUGAUCUGCCCUGCACUUCGGGAUAAGCCUGGGAAACUGGGUCUAAUACCGGAUAGGACCCUGGGAUGCAUGUCCUGGGGUGGAAAGCUUUUGCGGUGUGGGAUGGGCCCGCGGCCUAUCAGCUUGUUGGUGGGGUGAUGGCCUACCAAGGCGACGACGGGUAGCCGGCCUGAGAGGGUGACCGGCCACACUGGGACUGAGAUACGCCCCAGACUCCUACGGGAGGCAGCAGUGGAGAAUAUUGCACAAUGGGCGCAAGCCUGAUGCAGCGACGCCGCGUGAGGGAUGACGGCCUUCGGGUUGUAAACCUCUUUCAGCACCGACGAAGCGCAAGUGACGGUAGGUGCAGAAGAAGGACCGGCCAACUACGUGCCAGCCGCCGCAGUAA